GACGAACGCUGGCGGCGUGCCUAAUACAUGCAAGUCGAACGCAGUGGGGACGGGUGAGUAACACGUGGGUAACCUACAAUCAGAGGGGAUAAAACUAGGAAACAGGUGCUAAACCGAUACUGACGGUUGGACCCGCGUUGCAUUAGCUAGUUGGUGAGGUAACGGCUCACCAAGGCCACGAUGCAGAGCCGACCUGAGAGGGUGAUCGGCCACACGGUGACAUCGACACGGCCCAUACUCUUACGGGAGGCAGCAGUAGGGAAUCUUCGGCAAUGGACGAAAGUCUGACCGAGCAACGCAGCGUGAGUGAAGAAGGUUUUCGGAUCGUAAAACUCGGUUGUUAGAGAAUCGGUAUCUAACCAGGAAGCCACGGCUAACAACGUGCCAGCAGCCGCGGUAAUUC
RNAcentral lists this ribosomal RNA (403 nucleotides) under uncultured bacterium. RNAcentral's name for it is "partial 16S ribosomal RNA". It matches the Rfam family "Bacterial small subunit ribosomal RNA", at positions 28 to 526 of the family's 1533-position model. The record is from RNAcentral.